This is a long non-coding RNA of Aedes albopictus (Asian tiger mosquito), 529 nucleotides long. RefSeq lists it as uncharacterized. NCBI's taxonomy places the organism in Eukaryota, Metazoa, Arthropoda, Insecta, Diptera, Culicidae. The record is from RefSeq and is a predicted model, not a curated record. The transcript is spliced from 2 exons.
ACACUCUAAAGAAUUUUCACGUCCGAUUUACGUGAAAUAUCACGUAGCUCAUCCUUAUUCUGAAAACCUCAAAAGUUAUGUGAUGUCAGUAACUCUCACUCGAAAACCACGUCAUGUGCACCGCCCUGUUUGGUUAAACCCACCUUAUUUUCACGUAAAUCGUUUCAAUGCGUUUGUGUUGGUUUACUUCCGACUUGGAAGUUUCCGCGAAACGAGAGUUACGUGAAUUUUCAGGUGUGAAAAACAGUUCAAUAUGGCGUCGAGAAGUAGGUUGGCGAAAGAGCUGCUUGCUGAUAGGGAGUUUCUGUGUAAGUUGCUGCAAGUAUUGAGGAGCUGGAAUAGGUGUAUGACGGUGACGGAGGUUCAGUUCAACGAGUGUUCGAAACGGCUGGACCUUGAGCUGGACUUAAGAUGUUGCGUCAAAAACCCGAGAUUUUACUCCAAAUAAAAAAAAAACUAUAGUUUUUUCUUUGUUACAUAUUGCCACUAUCUUGUAGCGUAUUUGAGGAGGCAAGAGUUUUGAAAUCCC